RNA transcript from Hippopotamus amphibius kiboko, 2298 nucleotides. It is a transcript of the gene named sorting nexin 27, with no coding region annotated. NCBI's taxonomy places the organism in Eukaryota, Metazoa, Chordata, Mammalia, Artiodactyla, Hippopotamidae. The record is from RefSeq and is a predicted model, not a curated record. The transcript is spliced from 13 exons.
UCGGAUUCCGCGGUCGGCGGGGCGGGCGCGCGCGCCGGGGGUCGCGCGGCCGCUGAGAAGGGCGAGCACGCGCGGAGGGAGUGGAGGCGUAGAGGGGUGGGAGUACGGCUCGUUUGCUCGCAAGAUGGCGGACGAGGACGGGGAAGGGAUUCACCCCGCAGCCCCUCACAGGAACGGAGGCGGCGGCGGCGGCGGCGGCGGGGGGUCUGGGCUCCACUGCGCCGGGAACGGCGGCGGUGGAGGCGGCGGCCCGCGGGUCGUGCGCAUCGUCAAGUCCGAGUCCGGCUACGGCUUCAACGUGCGGGGCCAAGUGAGCGAGGGCGGGCAACUGCGGAGCAUCAACGGGGAGCUGUACGCGCCGCUGCAGCAUGUGAGCGCCGUGCUGCCCGGGGGGGCGGCCGACCGGGCCGGGGUGCGCAAGGGGGACCGCAUUCUGGAGGUGAACGGCGUGAAUGUUGAGGGGGCGACACACAAGCAGGUGGUGGACCUGAUCCGAGCAGGCGAGAAGGAGUUGAUCUUGACAGUGUUAUCUGUACCUCCUCAUGAGGCAGAUAACCUAGAUCCCAGUGACGACUCGUUGGGACAAUCAUUUUAUGAUUACACAGAAAAGCAAGCAGUGCCCAUAUCGGUCCCCACAUACAAACAUGUGGAGCAGAAUGGUGAGAAGUUUGUGGUAUACAAUGUUUACAUGGCAGGGAGGCAGUUGUGUUCUAAGCGGUACCGGGAGUUUGCCAUCCUACACCAGAACCUGAAGAGAGAGUUUGCCAACUUUACAUUUCCCCGACUUCCAGGGAAGUGGCCAUUCUCUUUAUCAGAACAGCAAUUAGAUGCUCGACGUCGGGGGUUGGAAGAAUAUCUAGAAAAAGUGUGCUCAAUACGAGUCAUUGGUGAGAGUGACAUCAUGCAGGAAUUCCUAUCAGAAUCAGAUGAGAACUACAAUGGUGUGUCUGACGUUGAGCUGAGAGUAGCAUUACCAGAUGGAACAACAGUUACAGUCAGGGUUAAAAAGAACAGUACUACAGACCAAGUAUAUCAGGCUAUUGCAGCAAAGGUUGGCAUGGAUAGUACGACAGUGAAUUACUUUGCCUUAUUUGAAGUGAUCAAUCAUUCAUUUGUACGUAAGCUGGCGCCUAAUGAAUUUCCUCAUAAACUCUAUGUCCAGAAUUACACAUCAGCUGUACCAGGCACCUGCCUGACCAUUCGAAAGUGGCUUUUUACGACAGAAGAAGAAAUCCUCUUAAAUGACAAUGACCUUGCUGUUACCUACUUCUUUCAUCAGGCUGUUGAUGAUGUGAAAAAAGGUUACAUCAAAGCAGAGGAAAAAUCCUACCAGUUACAGAAGCUGUUUGAACAAAGGAAAAUGGUCAUGUACCUCAACAUGCUAAGGACUUGUGAGGGCUACAAUGAAAUCAUCUUCCCCCACUGUGCCUGUGACUCCAGGAGGAAGGGGCAUGUUAUCACAGCCAUCAGCAUCACGCACUUUAAACUGCAUGCCUGCACUGAAGAAGGACAACUGGAGAACCAGGUAAUAGCAUUUGAAUGGGAUGAGAUGCAACGAUGGGAUACAGAUGAAGAAGGAAUGGCCUUCUGUUUUGAAUAUGCACGAGGAGAGAAGAAGCCUCGAUGGGUUAAAAUCUUCACACCAUAUUUCAAUUACAUGCACGAAUGCUUCGAGAGGGUGUUCUGCGAGCUCAAGUGGAGAAAAGAGAACAUUUUCCAGAUGGCGAGGUCACAGCAGAGGGAUGUGGCCACCUAGCCUUUCGUUACCCUCUUCCCUUCUCUUCACCCUCAUCCUCUCAUCCCUUUCGUCUCCCAUGUCAGACAGAGUAACCAUUAACACAAAAGAAGAGAAAAAGGAAAAAAGGCAUUAUAUUCAAAAGCCCUAAGCUAAAUAUUAAUAAUCCCUCUGAAUUUCAUAGCUCUGGAAUUGAGCUGGUAGAGAACAACAGAUGGGUCAGCACCAGGAGUCAGCUGAGUUAAGACAGGAAAAGAAAUAAGCCCAACCAACUCGCCAAAGCUCUGCAGAGCAUUCCAGAAUGAAGCCCAAAAGAAGGGCGGAAGAAUAGGAUCAUGAAGCGGUGAUCAAGGCCUGGACGCUGCUCACAGGCAAGGCUGGGCCUUCCUGAUAGAGUUUUCUCUCCCAAACCUCACUCUCCUCACCUGCCUCCCUCCCGUCCCCGAGGGGCACCGUCCCCUGCCUUCAACCUUCCGAGACACUUAUUUGAUGCUUUUAAACUUUUUUCUUUAUUUAGACAGAAAAGACCAACUCUUUGAAAGUAAAAUGCAAUAAAUAAAUAA